RNAcentral lists this ribosomal RNA (400 nucleotides) under uncultured bacterium. Its description in RNAcentral is "bacterial SSU rRNA". It matches the Rfam family "Bacterial small subunit ribosomal RNA", at positions 356 to 773 of the family's 1533-position model. The record is from RNAcentral.
GGGGAAUAUUGCACAAUGGAGGAAACUCUGAUGCAGCAACGCCGCGUGAGUGAUGACGGUCUUCGGAUUGUAAAGCUCUGUCUUCAGGGACGAUAAUGACGGUACCUGAGGAGGAAGCCACGGCUAACUACGUGCCAGCAGCCGCGGUAAUACGUAGGUGGCAAGCGUUGUCCGGAUUUACUGGGCGUAAAGGGUGCGCAGGCGGACAUUUAAGUGAGAUGUGAAAGACCCGGGCUUAACUUGGGCAGUGCAUUUCAAACUGGAUGUCUAGAGUGCAGGAGAGGAAAGCAGAAUUCCUAGUGUAGCGGUGAAAUGCGUAGAGAUUAGGAAGAAUACCAGUGGCGAAGGCGGCUUUCUGGACUGUAACUGACGCUGAGGCAUGAAAGCGUGGGGAGCAAAC